CUGAGGCAUCUAGGUAGGCACCACAGUGGAUAGAGCACCAGGCCUGGAGUUGGGAGGACCUCAGUUUAAAUCUGACCUCAUAUUCUUCCUUGCUGGAUGACCCUGGUCGAGUCCCUUAACCCCCUUUGCCUAGCCCUUGUCACUCUUUUAUCUUAGAAUUGAUACUAAGACAGAAUGUAAGGGUUUUAAAGAAAUAGAUUUUUCAAUGCCAAGUAUUCAUAAUCUCCAAACUGGGUAGAAGGAAAAACUUGGAAUAUAGAGACUUAGAAGAAAUCAAACCUACGUGCUAACAAGAUGAAAGUCAUACCUGUUGUCCAUAUCCUGAAGUUCUACUCAGGAUCCAUUCAGUGAACUACAGAAGAUGAAGUCACAUCCCAGUAUUUUAAUUCAGGUAAAAAAUUGAUUUUCUCUUUUUGUGUAAUUGUCCACAGAACAUUAAGUACAAGAGAAUAAUAACAGGAUAUUGGCUUGUUCCAGGGUUAUAUAUAGAUGAUACCCAUUGAAAAAAAUCUGAGGAUGAGAUGAGAAUGAUGAUUGAUUCAUAAUUAUAUAGUGCUUUUUAUGAGAGGCAGAGAGAGAGAGAGAAAGAGAAAAAAGGGAUAAGGAGGUGGGGAGAGACAGACAGACAGAGAGACAGAGAAGGAGAGGGAGAGACAGAAAAGAGAGGGAGAGACAGAGAGAAGAAAGAGAGAGAAAGAAGGGGGAGAGAGAGAGAAGAGAGAGAGAGAGGGAAGGAGGGAGGGAGAGAGAGAGAGAAAGAGAGAGAGAGAAAAGAGAGGGAGAGACAGAGAGGAGAGAGAGAGAAAGAAGGGGGAGAGAGAGAGAAGAGAGAGAGAGAGAGAGAGAGAGAGAGAGAGAGAGAGAAGAGAGGGAGAGACAGAGAGGAGAGAGAAAGAAGGGGGAGAGAGAGAGAAGAGAAAGAGAGAGAGGGAAGGAGGGAGGGAGAGAGAGGGGGGGGGAGGGAGGGAGGGAGAGAGAGAAUGCCCCCCCUUGGAGCCAAGAAGAAAAUUGGUUCAAUUCUACCUCUGACACACACCUUAUCUGUGUGACUAUGGGCGGGUCACAACUUCUCCAGUAUACUAGGGAACUCUCCAAGCCCUGGAUCUCUCCCAGCAUGUGGGGUGUGGGUUUCCUUCUAAAGUCUCUAUAUUUCAAGUUUUUCCCUCAUAUCUAGUGUGGGAAGAUUAUGAAUACAUUGGGCAUGAAAAAUCUAAGUUUCAGAGAAGGUGCUGACCUGCAUAGGUAGAAGGAAGCUUCCUUCUCUGGAAGUUCUCUAUCUAUAACAGUGAAAUCACUGGUCCCAGCUCUCUUUAUAUUGGACCAAGUACUUUCAUUUUCACCCAGGAAGGGUGCUGUAGUGGGUAUAGAACAUUGUAUUUGUAGCCAGAGACCUGAAUUCAAAUGUCCCCUCUGGAAAUAUGUGACCCUAAUUCAUACCACUGCUCCCCCCCUCAGUCUUCCUCUCUCUUCCUCUAUUUUCCUCAACAGUUUGCAUGAGUUUCUUAUUUUCUUCUAGAAAUUUCUAUCCCUCCUCCUCUGAAGAGAGACCAACCCCAGAGUCCACUUCUAUCUACUCUUCUUUGUAUCUCCUCAGUGUCUUUUCUUUAGGGAUGCUUUCUCCCACUCUUCUGCCAGGCACCCUGUUUCCAUUGUGAAGAGGGGAGGAUCUGACUUGACUUGGCAUCCCUGCCUUCACAUAUCAAUCAGGGAAGGGUUCUAGUCUUUGGUCUGACACUAAUUCUCUUUGGCUUCUGGUAAAUUCCUUUUUUCCUUUCAGAGCCUUAGUUUCCUCAACUGUGAAAUGAGUGAGUUCAGCUGGAUGAUCUUUAUGUCCCUCCUAACUUGGAAUUUCUCUGUUUAAAGAUCCUUCCACCUCAGACAUCCUAUAUUCAGAGGUCCUUCCCAGUCUGACAUUCUUUGUUCUAAGGGCCCUCCCUGACCUUCCCUGAUAUUAUGUAUUCUAAAGUCCUUCCCAGCUCUUACAUUCCCUGUUCUAAAGCUUCCCCCGGCCUCUGCUCUGAUAUCCUCUGUUCUGGGACCCAUGUUGGCUCUAACCCUCUCAGUUCUAAGCUCCCUUCUAGCUCUUGCUGGGAUUUUCUGUUCAGAAACCUUAGCUGGCUCUAACAUUCUGUUCUAAGUUCUCCUGACAUUCCAUGUUCGAUGAAGUUGACCACGUCUUCCACUAUUCCUGCCUGAGCAUGGCUUUUUGCUUGCCUCAUUUCCCAGUUGGUGCCUGCCAUAUGACUGAUGUACAUCAGUGAAAUAAACAAUCCCUUCUCUCUCCUGGAUAUAUUACA
Long non-coding RNA from Monodelphis domestica (gray short-tailed opossum), 2297 nucleotides. NCBI's taxonomy places the organism in Eukaryota, Metazoa, Chordata, Mammalia, Didelphimorphia, Didelphidae. The record is from Ensembl.